UAGGGAAUCUUCGGCAAUGGACGAAAGUCUGACCGAGCAACGCCGCGCGAGUGAAGAAGGUUUUCGGAUCGUAAAACUCUGUUGUUAGAGAAGAACAAGGACGUUAGUAACUGAACGUCCCCUGACGGUAUCUAACCAGAAAGCCACGGCUAACUACGUGCCAGCAGCCGCGGUAAUACGUAGGUGGCAAGCGUUGUCCGGAUUUAUUGGGCGUAAAGCGAGCGCAGGCGGUUUCUUAAGUCUGAUGGGAAAGGCCCCGGCUCAACCGGGGAGGGUCAUUGGAAACUGGGAGACUUGAGUGCAGAAGAGGAGGGUGGAAUUCCAUGUGUAGCGGUGAAAUGCGUAGAUAUAUGGAGGAACACCAGUGGCGAAGGCGGCUGUCUGGUCUGUAACUGACGCUGAGGCUCGAAAGCGUGGGGAGCAAACAGG
RNAcentral lists this ribosomal RNA (429 nucleotides) under Gemmatimonadota bacterium. Its description in RNAcentral is "Gemmatimonadetes bacterium partial 16S ribosomal RNA". It matches the Rfam family "Bacterial small subunit ribosomal RNA", at positions 355 to 776 of the family's 1533-position model. Lineage: Bacteria; Pseudomonadati; Gemmatimonadota. The record is from RNAcentral.